RNAcentral lists this ribosomal RNA (1029 nucleotides) under Triticum aestivum (bread wheat). RNAcentral describes it as "partial small subunit ribosomal RNA". Lineage: Eukaryota; Viridiplantae; Streptophyta; Magnoliopsida; Poales; Poaceae. The record is from RNAcentral.
AUGAACCCAUCGCGGUCCGCCCCGGCGUCGUUCCGGGACCGCACCAACGAGUUCCGCUCCGCCGUCGAGAGCGCGCGCCGCCACGUCGCCCCGUCCCCAGCCGCCGCGUCGGCCAGCGGCAGCGCCGGGCCCCUCGACGACUCGCGCUCCGCCGCGUCGGCGCACUCCGAGUUCAACCGCCGCGCCUCCAAGAUCGGGCUCGGGAUCCACCAGACCUCCCAGAAGCUCGCCCGCCUUGCCAAAUUGGCAAAGAAGACAUCUGUUUUUGAUGACCCUACCUUAGAGAUACAAGAGUUGACUGCAGUUGUUAAGAAGGACAUUGGUGCUUUGAAUAAUGCUGUUAUGGACUUACAAGUUCUGUGCAAUUCACAAAAUGAGAGCGGCAAUCUUUCCAAGGAUACAACAAACCAUUCCACUACCGUUGUGGACAACCUGAAAAAUCGACUGAUGAGUGCAACGAAAGAAUUCAAAGAAGUCCUUACCAUGCGGACAGAGAAUUUGAAGGUUCAUGAAAACAGAAGGCAAAUGUUCUCCUCCUCAGCUGCAAAAGAUGCAUCAAAUCCAUUCAUUCGUCAGCGGCCCCUUGUUCCCAGAGAGGCAUCCGACGCUGCACCCCCAGCACCAUGGGCCAGUGACUCUGCAACUACGCCGUUGUUUCAGAGGAAGAAGACUAAUGGAGAUCAUGGAGCAUCGUCGUCGUUGUCGUCUCCUGCUUUCAUGCAGCAGCAGCAAUUGGCAGUACAGCAGGAUAGUUACAUGCAGAGCAGAGCUGAGGCUCUUCAAAAUGUGGAAUCAACCAUCCAUGAGCUGAGCAACAUCUUUACCCAGCUGGCAACCAUGGUGUCUCAGCAGGGAGAGCUAGCAAUCAGAAUCGAUGAGAACAUGGAGGAGACGGUAGCCAACGUUGAGGGGGCGCAGGGUCAACUCCUGAAGUACCUCAACAGCAUCUCAUCAAACAGGUGGCUGAUGAUGAAGAUAUUCUUCGUGCUGAUGGUGUUCCUCAUGAUCUUCAUAUUCUUCGUGGCAUGA